RNAcentral lists this ribosomal RNA (327 nucleotides) under uncultured eukaryote. RNAcentral's name for it is "partial 18S ribosomal RNA". It matches the Rfam family "Eukaryotic small subunit ribosomal RNA", at positions 1470 to 1796 of the family's 1831-position model. The record is from RNAcentral.
CCCUUAGAUGAUUUGGGCUGCACGCGCGCUACACUGACCCUAACAAUGAGCAACUGUCUGGCCUGAGAUGGCUGGGUAGCCUUUUCAACCCAUGUCAUGAUUGGGCUAGAUUUUUGUAAGUCUUGAUCUCUAACGAGGAAUCCCUAGUAUGCGUGAAUCAUCAAUCUGCAUUGAUUACGUCCCUGCCCUUUGUACACACCGCCCGUCGCACCUACCGAUUGGAUGGUCCGGUGAAGCCUCGGGAUUGUGGUUCUUGCCGCUUUAUUGUGGCGUGACCGCGAGAACUUGUCUAAACCUUAUCAUCUAGAGGAAGGUGAAGUCGUAACA